Molecule: transfer RNA, 69 nt
Filed under: Geotria australis
Lineage: Eukaryota; Metazoa; Chordata; Hyperoartia; Petromyzontiformes; Geotriidae
Description: tRNA-Asn
Source: RNAcentral
UAGAUCAAAGCUGAAUUUAGCGCUUAGCUGUUAACUAAGAGGUUGUGAGUGUAUUGCUUGCUGAUCUAG